GACGAACGCUGGCGGCGUGCUUAACACAUGCAAGUCGAACGGAAAGGCCUCUUUCGGGGGGUACUCGAGUGGCGAACGGGUGAGUAACACGUGAGUAACCUGCCCUUGACUUUGGGAUAACUUCAGGAAACUGGGGCUAAUACCGGAUAGGAGCUCCUGCUGCAUGGUGGGGGUUGGAAAGUUUCGGCGGUUGGGGAUGGACUCGCGGCUUAUCAGCUUGUUAGUGGGGUAGUGGCUUACCAAGGCUUUGACGGGUAGCCGGCCUGAGAGGGUGACCGGCGACAUUGGGACUGAGAUACGGCCCAGACUCCUACGGGAGGCAGCAGUGGGGAAUAUUGCACAAUGGGUGGAAGCCUGAUGCAGCAACGCCGUGUGCGGGAUGACGGCCUUCGGGUUGUAAACCGCUUUCGCUCAUGACGAAGCUUUGUGUGACGGUAGUGGGUAAAGAAGCACCGGCUAACUACGUG
RNAcentral lists this ribosomal RNA (467 nucleotides) under uncultured bacterium. Its description in RNAcentral is "partial 16S ribosomal RNA". It matches the Rfam family "Bacterial small subunit ribosomal RNA", at positions 28 to 507 of the family's 1533-position model. The record is from RNAcentral.